Molecule: ribosomal RNA, 942 nt
Filed under: uncultured Planctomycetota bacterium
Lineage: Bacteria; Pseudomonadati; Planctomycetota
Description: bacterial SSU rRNA
Rfam family: Bacterial small subunit ribosomal RNA
Source: RNAcentral
AAUGCCGCGUGUGGGAAGAACCCUUCGGGGUGUAACCACUGUCAGGGGUUAGCAAGCAAUCCGGUCGAACAGGCCGGUGCGUUGAGCAGCCCCAGAGGAAGCCACGGCUAACUUCGUGCCAGCAGCCGCGGUAAGACGAAGGUGGCAAGCGUUGUUCGGAAUCACUGGGCUUAAAGGGCACGCAGGCGGCCUGUCAAGUGUCUUGUGAAAUCCCUCGACUCAACCGAGGAAUUGCAGGGCAAACUGGCAGGCUUGAGGCAGGUAGGGGCAAGUGGAACUCUUGGUGGAGCGGUGGAAUGCGUAGAUAUCAAGAGGAACGCCAGUGGCGAAAGCGACUUGCUAGGCCUGUCCUGACGCUGAGGUGCGAAAGCCAGGGGAGCGAACGGGAUUAGAUACCCCGGUAGUCCUGGCCCUAAACGAUGUCCACUAGGUCGGAGGUUCUCUGACGGAUUUCCGGCCGAAACGAAAGCGUUAAGUGGACCGCCUGGGGAGUACGGUCGCAAGGCUAAAACUCAAAGGAAUUGACGGGGGCUCACACAAGCGGUGGAGCAUGUUGCUUAAUUCGAUGCAACGCGAAGAACCUUAUCCUGGGCUUGACAUGUUCGGAUGCCCUCCUGGAAACAGGUCGGGUUGCCCUUCGGGGUGAAACGUUCACAGGUGCUGCAUGGCUGUCGUCAGCUCGUGUCGUGAGAUGUUGGGUUAAGUCCCGUAACGAGCGAAACCCUUGUCGUUAGUUGCCAGCGCGUCAUGGCGGGGACUCUAACGAGACUGCCGGUGUUAAACCGGAGGAAGGUGGGGAUGACGUCAAGUCCUCAUGGCCUUUAUGCCCAGGGCCGCAAACGUGCUACAAUGGCCGAUACAAACCGACGCAAGACCGCGAGGUGGAGCAAAUCGGAAAAAGUCGGCCCCAGUUCGGAUUGGAGUCUGCAACUCGACUCCAUG